CAGUCGCCACGGUAAAACAGAGGGUGCGAGCGUUAAUCGGAUUUACUGGGCGUAAAGCGUGCGUAGGCGGCUUCUUAAGUCGGAUGUGAAAUCCCUGAGCUUAACUUAGGAAUUGCAUUCGAUACUGGGAAGCUAGAGUAUGGGAGAGGAUGGUAGAAUUCCAGGUGUAGCGGUGAAAUGCGUAGAGAUCUGGAGGAAUACCGAUGGCGAAGGCAGCCAUCUGGCCUAAUACUGACGCUGAGGUACGAAAGCAUGGGGAGCAAACAGGAUUAGAUACCCGUGUAGUCCCUGUCUCUUAUAC
This 301-nucleotide ribosomal RNA is filed under the name uncultured bacterium. Its description in RNAcentral is "partial 16S ribosomal RNA". It matches the Rfam family "Bacterial small subunit ribosomal RNA", at positions 509 to 807 of the family's 1533-position model. The record is from RNAcentral.